RNAcentral lists this long non-coding RNA (300 nucleotides) under Homo sapiens (human). Its description in RNAcentral is "HSALNT0082226". The record is from RNAcentral. Lineage: Eukaryota; Metazoa; Chordata; Mammalia; Primates; Hominidae.
CAGGAAGCAAGAGUAGUGGUGUAAACAUCACGGUGCUUAGACCACUGAGCAUCACCCUCUCAUGUGCUGCUCCGCCCAGGCUGUGCACACGGGACACGGUGACUGUGAUCCAGACGCUUCUGGAAAAGGAACAAGGCAGGCGCGGGAUCCAGGAGAGUGGCCAUGAAUACUUGCUAUGUUCAUUAAGCAGCAGUUCCACAACUAAUUGUGUCACUGUGAUCAUUAUCUUGGCAUGCUGCACUGAUUCAUUUUUGGACACGAUUACAUAGCCAAAUAUAGAAAGCUAAUCUGAAAUACCCG